GGUAGCUCUGGGUCCGCUUCUAAUCCCAUGAUGCCUGGUGGACUUCCACCAGGCGGAAAUCCCCUGGAUCCAAUGGGGGCAAUGUCUGGUGGCGGGGCCAUUUCUAAGUUUUCUGGAGGUACCAAUCUCGUGGAUCCGAAAGGAUUUAUGAAUGGAGGAGGAUUAACCGGGACCCAGUCAAAUCAGUUCUCGAUGCUAGGUAA
Molecule: long non-coding RNA, 203 nt
Organism: Saccostrea echinata
Lineage: Eukaryota; Metazoa; Mollusca; Bivalvia; Ostreida; Ostreidae
Exons: 3
Source: RefSeq, a predicted model, not a curated record